This 235-nucleotide unclassified non-coding RNA is filed under the name plant metagenome. Its description in RNAcentral is "partial contains small subunit ribosomal RNA, internal transcribed spacer 1, and 5.8S ribosomal RNA". The stretch from base 1 to 54 matches the Rfam family "Eukaryotic small subunit ribosomal RNA", at positions 1778 to 1831 of the family's 1831-position model. The record is from RNAcentral.
GGAAGUAAAAGUCGAAACAAGGUUUCCGUAGGUGAACCUGCGGAAGGAUCAUUCAUAAUAAGUGUUUUAUGGCACUUUUUUAAAUCCAUAUCCACCUUGUGUGCAAUGUCAGGGUUGAUUUUUCUCUCGAAAGGAUCAGCCCCAAACAUCAACUAUAUCUCAACUCUUUGUCUGAAAAAUAUUAUGAAUAAAACAAUUCAAAAUACAACUUUCAACAACGGAUCUCUUGGCUCUC